CACUGGAGAGUCCCACUAAUUGAAAACAAAAAUGGCUUAAACCCUUAGUAAGCUCAAGUCCUACUGAUGGAGAGACUCGUGUAGAGAGGCACACAGGAAUGGGGAAACUCAUUACAAUGGAAAACGUCAUGAGCACGUUUGUUGGGUAGACGCAAGCCAACAGAAAAGAUGCUCAACUCUCCUUGGCAAGGGUUCCUGGACAGUUUACCACCUGAGCUGAAUCUGGACCAAAAAUAGCUCUUAGGCACAGAGGUCAGGCAAGGGCAAAUAAAAGGUUUAUGCAAAGAUACAGCAGAAUGAAAAGGAAAGUGAUGAAUCAGAGGGCUGUAUGACCAGAAAUAGAAGUCUUUAAAUCCAGAAGGUGAGGAGUAUCUUUGGAAGGAAGCUCAUUUUCAACAAUGCUUUGUUUUGAGCUCUGUUAAUCCCAUAAUCUGCAUAAAUGGGCACUCAAUAAGUGUUUUUUUUUUACUAAAUGAAGAUUAAAUUGACCUACUAGCAAACUCAAACCUGUCCAUUAAGAAAAAUAAGAAACUGGUAUUAAAGGAUAUAUGGACUCUCAAUAUUUUUAAUUUUUGAAAUCUUAAGUUUCCAAAUUUACAACAGAAACGCUGUUUCAAUGUUGGUCUAUUUCAGCCAAAAAAUCUUUUCACCAGAAGUUAAUCACUUUUGUUUUUGAAUCUCAGUGCUUCUCUUUUGAAGACCAUUUUCUUCCUACAAAGAAACAGUUGUGUGCUUUUUAAACCAUUCUAAGUGAGAUGCUUUGUAUGCAUGAUAGUUAGAGAACAACAGACAGCACUGAUGUCUAGUGUGUACCUAGACUCACAUACUAGCUAAGUGAUUUUCUUCAGAAUACUAGAGGUAAAAGGAAAAUAAUUCAGAUUUUAAGAUUUGAAACAGGAUCACAGUUUUGAAAUGUCAUAAACUUUGGAGCAGUUUGCAAAUAGACACGUUUCAAAUGGUAAAUCCAUAAAUGGUAAGAACCUAAUACAGAUGACGAUGUUCACAUUUCCAGAGUCUUCCAUGGCUUCUCCUGUUACUUACUCAUCAGGAUGAUUAAAUCUCAGUCUGCUGAACCAGAAAGAAAAGUCCUGAAUCAGUCGCCCUCCUUUUUGAGCUCUCCUUGUUCAUAUUUCCAUUAAGCUAAAUAUCCUAAAUUAACUUAAUUGCAAUACCUAAAGGCAAGUUUGCAGCAUGUGAAAGUGCUUUGGAAAAAAGUGAAGUGCUCUAAUAUUACCAGGGCUGCUGAACGAUGAGUGACACCUCAAAGAAAUCUGAGCUAGUUUUUUCAUGAUAAUUUAAGAGACUCAAAGUCCUCUACCAAAUCAGUUCUCUAAUACAUACUGUGGUCCAACAGUCAACAAAGCACUAGGAAUAGAAAUUUAGUGUUGCAUUUAUUAGCCAACACAAACAAUUAAACCAUGAUAUAGUCAAUUUUUUUCUCAUGACGAAACUUCCUUCAAGGUCCUACAAAACUCUAAGGAUUUAGAAUAACUGGAAAUAUUAUAACCUAUUAGAUCAUUUUAAUAAUACUAGCAUCAGCAUCACCAGAUUGAAAAGACUACAAAAAAACUGUGAAGUAUAACAAACUACAAUGUUGGCCCACUUAUGUUUUCCUUGUUUAUACUGUUGUUUCUAAUUACAUGGUGAUACACAAAUUUAACAAUACCACCAUAAAUAGAAUAAAAAGAAAAUUGAUCUUCAUUCUAGCCGCUUCCCCCUUAUCUUUCCUAUAGAUAAUAUUAAAAUGACACUUAAAAUUGUGGGUGCCUUAUUCACUGAAAUACUUUUGGGCUUCUGGAUUUGAUGUCAUACUCAUUGCAGAGCACCUGGAUUCCAUGCUGCUUUCCUAUGACCUGCAGAAGUGCUUCGUUUUGACCAGGAGCACAGCAGCCUUAAUGACUAUCUAGGAGUGUAUAUCGCUAACAUUGUAGGAGAGGUUAUUUCAUCUUGCAUCAUAACACAUGAUGUACUACUAAAAGUAACAGUUUCUUAUAAACUUUUCAAAUUUCCAAGCUAGUUUCUUCCAUUACAACUGCCAACAGGAGACAUCCAGGUAUGGUAAAUGGGUGAAAUAGGUCUGCUGGGGGCUGUGCUAAACUGUCAACUGCAAGUCCUGGGCAGAGGAAACAGCUGCUGUUCAGUUCUAGCCAAUUGUUGCCACAUGAGAAUACUGGCCCAGUGUUAUCAGAACAUCCAAAUUUCAGGAGAAAUUGUAAACCCAGAGAUUCCUGUAAAAACACAAAUCUCCUGAAGUUUAAAUACUGUCUUAACUUUUAAAAAAUAUUACACAAAACAAACAACAUAUUUAUGGGCCAAAUUCAGUCCAUGGGCAGCCAAUUUGAAGUCUCUGCUACCCGUAUAUAAGCACAACUUUGUUCAUUUAAUCCACUGAUUAAUUUAUAACUCACAUUUGAGCAUUGAUCUGAAUGUGUCUAAAUGAGAUAAGCAACAUAAAGGCCACCACAUAAUGCUUCACAUAUAGAAAGCACUUCAUAAAUGUUAAUUAUUACUGCAGUUGUCCUUGUUAUUAUUGUUUUACAUUCUAAAGGUCAUAUAAGAAUAAUCAUGAGAAAUUGGUUGCCAUUAUGUUUGUAAACAAAGUUAUGCAGAAGCACAGAAGACAGAAUAACUCUUUCUUCUUGGAUGACUCAGUGUAGAUUUCCAGAAAAUGUGUAAUUUGAUCUGGGUUUUGAAUGAAUAGGAGUUUUACAAGAGAAGAGGUGGAAGAAGACCUUUCCACAAUGGGGACAGAAUAGUCUAGGUUAGCGCAGCGUAUUCAUGGGGCUCGGGGAGCCCAAUGCGUGGUGAGAAGUUAGUGCAAUUUGAUCAAAUAGAAGCCAGGAAUGGACAGGCAGGAAAUGAGGAAACAAACGUAAACUGGAAUUAAAAUAUCCAGGUGAGUGUGAUUUUUAAGCAAUGGGAAGUCAAUGAAGAUUUUCUCUAGGAGAAUAUGCUCAAGAUUGUAAAGGAAGAGGAUUCUCAUGAUGUUGUUUGUGAUGCAUUAAAGUGAGAAGGUAACUAAUGUGUAUGUGUUCAAUACAUGCCAGAAAUUGUAUUCUACAUUUUGUCAAUGAAUUGAAAUGUUCAUAUUAUUACUUCGUGUCAUUCAUGAGAAACUGAAGCUUAGAGUAGUUAACUAUCUAAGAUCACAUAAGCAGUUGGUGGUGCCGCCGUGCUUUAAUCAUUCUGAAAGAGUCCAAAGCACCUCAUGUUUCCAUUAGUCUACAUGGGAGCGCAUAGGAUAUGAAAUUAUUGCCAUUCAUCCAGAUGAGAGGUGGGACUGAAAUAAGAAAGGGGCAAUAAAGAAUUGAUAUUCAGAAGUCAUUUCUGAAGGGACGAAAAAAGAAGACCUUUUAAAAACACAGAUUCAGGGUAAGAUGAAAACUCUUACCUUUAGAAUGGAUAAGCAAUGAGUCCUACUAUAUAGCACAGAAACUAUCCAGGCUCUUGGGAUAGACCAUGAUGGAAAAUAAUGCAAGAAUGGGAAUGGAUAUAUAUGUAUGUAUGACUUGGUCACUUUCCUGUACAGCAAUAACUGGCACAACAAUCAACUAUGCUUUAAUAAAAAUAAAAAAUAAAAAAUAAAAAUAAUUUAAAAAAACACUAGUCAAGGAUAAGUUCAAGGUUAUGAGACUGGGAAAAUAUUAAAACAAGUGGCAACAUUCAAGACUGAGAACCCAGUAGAGGAACAAUGAUUUAUUUUUCUGAAAGGAAAAGGGUCACUGGUUCAGAGAAAAUUGAAUUUGUGACGCAUUGAGUUUCAAGGGUCCAGCAGACAUCCAAAUAGAGAGGUCCAAUUAGGAGUUGGAAAUGCAGCUGUAGAUAAGAAUUGUCAGGGAUGGGCAGGAAUGGGCAGCCCAUCCUGCCCAGUGGGGUUGAAGUCUUGAGGAACAGUGAGAAGUCAUGGGCAGAAUAUGUAAAGAAGAGAAGCAAUGACAUUAUCUAGUUAGGAUGAUAUGUUUACAUGGUUUCUUCACUAUUAAAGGUCAAGGUCGUCAGGACCAUGCCUUUACCAUCUGCACGUUGGCAUACCUCAGAGAUUUCACCCUCUAGCACACACAGUAAAUACAGGUGCUCUUUUGGUAAAUGAGAAGCACACCAAAAGAACAGAAUCUAAGGGAUAGCAAAAGGGAAAAGAGACUCAGAAAGGGAACAGAAAAAUUGAUUAGGUGAUGGGAGUGCUAAGAGGAGAAGAAUGGAAGCCACAGAAAAAGAGUAUUUCAAAAUAGAACUGUCCCACAGAUUGAAAUGCAUCAGAGAUAGAGUUGGGACAAGGACUUAAAAUCGGCUAUUAGAUUUGUCAAUAAGAGAACCCUGAAAAAUAGUUUCUUAUUCUAAAUUGAUCAUUGGAAGUAAUCACUGCGAUUUUGAAAUAUAUCCUGGGAGUCAGUCUGGGUAAAGCAAGUUUCCAAACCCACAAUUUAGCUGCAUAACUAGUAGUAUAGAUCUAGCGUAAAAGAAUACCAGGCAAUUAAUUGUGCUGUUUCAUUACAGGUGUCCUAAUUUAAAGUGAUUCCUGCUGAUAGGACAUGAUAGGUGUACAUUAAAGGGAGAAAAAUGAAACAAAUAUACUUUAGAAUAAAUUAUAAUUCUUUAACAACGAAAACCCCAAACACAGAGUAUCUGAGGAUGCACUGAUUUGCCUGAAGAUUCACAAAACUGGAGUCAGUUAACAUCUCUCCAAUGAAUGAAAAUAAACUGAGAAGGCAAAUAUAAAGAUCACAAUUCUUUGAAAAAAGAGCAGGUGCCUUUGAUAUUUCUGUUUUUAUGUUUCAUAGUUUCAGUGCUUCUAUCUUUCCAUGAUAAGCAAAUAGCCAUUUAAAAAACUCAGUCUAUUAAGAAUCAGUAUGUUGUUCCUGGAAAAUUAAAGACUCAUAAAUAUGCUAUACCUUCCUGUAACUCAAAUAUCUUCAUUAUUCUUCCUAAUCAGGUGGAGUUUUUUUAGAUAAUAAAUAUUCAGACAUAUUCAAUUAUGUAUGAUAUAGUGAUAUUAUAAUAUUUCAUUGGAACGUUUUGAGAGAAAGGGGCUAAGAUCUAAUAAUUUAGAUUUGAAUAGUACUGUUUUAGGGUUAAAAAUAAUAGUAGAAAAAUAACUGUAGUUUCUUUACAAAAAUCAGGGUAGAUGUCCACUAAGCAUCAGAUACAUAACAGUGCUUUAUAAUUUUAUUUAUAUAAUGUCUUAUAAAGUCCAAAAAUAACAACCAAGUUUUUUUUUGUUGUUGUUGUUUGGGUUUUUUUUAACCCACAAGAGAAUCUGACACCUCUGAAUUACUGAGCCAUCAUUGAUCAAGAACUAGCAUGGCCUCUUAAAGCCCAUAAUAGCUAACGGGAAGUAUAGCUAUAGGCUAUAGAGUUAGGGAUUUAAAAAUGUCAAGCAACACUAAUAAUUCAUGCAUCCUGGGACCAUAAAGCCAGCAGCAUGUCAAUAAUAAUGGCAUGCUCUUUGGAAAACAGGUGAAAUUAACAUGCUAAUGUUUUAAGUUAAGAGAAUACUACGGAACUUUGGUAAAAGAAAUGUUUUUCUCUAGCAUAGGAGGCUGCUGAUUUGUGCUUUAUGUGUUUUGCUGCUACUUAUUAUGCCUCCCAGACAUGUAUCCCAAAUACAGGGCUGCACAUACUGUCAGUUGACAAAGGGCCUGACAUGGCAUAAUAGCAAAAUGUGUAGGCAGUAAAAAGAAAUGCACAAAAUAAAUAUCAAUACCUGAACAAGUCAUGUGCACUGGAGGAUACAAGCGAUUUCACAUGCAGGAAACAUUUAAGAAAAGAGAUGACAAAAUAAUGAAAGAUACCUUUAGGAAGCCUAUCCUUUUGUUAAAAUAAAAUUUGCUGAGAUUUGUUACUCUUAUUUUUAUUAUUUCAAGAUAGCCUGUUUUAGAAGCCACACAACGUUUAGAAGCAAGGCUUCGACUCAGUGCUUUAAGGAGCUACUUGGCUCUUCAGGAAUGGUUGGGGUUUUUGUUUGUUUGUUUGUUUGUUUUUGUUUUUCCCCAUGGUCUUCACUUUCUAAAGAAGCCUUAAGAAAACAGAGGCAUUUGAAGAGGGAAGGAGUGCCGGACACAGGAGAAAAGGGAAAUGGUGUUUUAUUGAGCGAUUUUUUUUAUUAUCACUCUGGGAACCAAAAAAGUGACUACAUCUAUCAAAUAAGUCUCCCUCAAAAAAAUCUUUAGAUCAAUCUUU
Molecule: long non-coding RNA, 6177 nt
Filed under: Sus scrofa (pig)
Lineage: Eukaryota; Metazoa; Chordata; Mammalia; Artiodactyla; Suidae
Description: lncRNA (ENSSSCG00000052531.1)
Source: RNAcentral